UUUGUACUCCCUCCGUUCAUUAAUUCUUGUCUCAAAUUUGCCCAAAAAUGGAUGCAUCUAUUCCUAAAAUUUGUCUAGAUACAUGUAAUAUUUCGACCAGAAUUAUGGAACGGAGGGAGUAGAAU
Molecule: non-coding RNA, 125 nt
Organism: Brachypodium distachyon (stiff brome)
Lineage: Eukaryota; Viridiplantae; Streptophyta; Magnoliopsida; Poales; Poaceae
Source: Rfam